This 253-nucleotide ribosomal RNA is filed under the name uncultured bacterium. Its description in RNAcentral is "partial 16S ribosomal RNA". It matches the Rfam family "Bacterial small subunit ribosomal RNA", at positions 524 to 776 of the family's 1533-position model. The record is from RNAcentral.
UACGGAGGGUGCAAGCGUUAUCCGGAUUCACUGGGUUUAAAGGGUGCGUAGGCGGAUAGGUAAGUCAGAGGUGAAAUCCUGGAGCUUAACUCCAGAACUGCCUUUGAUACUAUUUAUCUUGAAUAUGGUGGAGGUAAGCGGAAUAUGUCAUGUAGCGGUGAAAUGCAUAGAGAUGACAUAGAACACCUAUUGCGAAGGCAGCUUACUACGCCUAUAUUGACGCUGAGGCACGAAAGCGUGGGGAUCAAACAGG